AAAAAGAAUUUGGUAAGGUGGUGUGGGGUAGGAGAUAAUUACAAAAAGAAUAUAUGUGUUAUAUCUCCUGACCUCAUGAUCUGCACGCCUUGGCCUCUCAAAAAAUAUACAAUUCAGUGACAUUCAGGAGAGUCACAAUGCUUUGUAACCACCACCUCUCUCUGUUUCAUCACUCGCCAGAGCAUCUUCAGGGUUCAUCCACGUUGCAGGAGGAAUCAGCACUGCAUUCUUUUUUUUUUUUUUUUUUUUUUGGUGGGGUGUACAGAGUCUCGCUCUGUCACCCAGGCUGGAGUGCAGUGGCGCCAUCUCCGCUCACUGCAAGCUCCACCUCCUGGGUUCACGCCAUUCUCCUGCCUCUCUUGGCCUGCAGCAUCCUUCAGCACACCUGCCCCUGCCUGUCUCAAGCGCUCUCUCGGCCAUCACCAGAAAAAUCCAGAGCCAUUUCCCACAUAUACCAGGAAGGAGGACCCAUGAGGUCCUUCUCACCCCUACUUCCUCUUACCGUACUCCUAUUCAUCCUUCAAGACGCUGUGUGCAAUUGCUACCUCCAGAAAGUUCUAAGUGACUCCCC
Molecule: long non-coding RNA, 571 nt
Filed under: Pan troglodytes (chimpanzee)
Lineage: Eukaryota; Metazoa; Chordata; Mammalia; Primates; Hominidae
Description: long non-coding RNA NONPTRT011211
Source: RNAcentral